CACAAUCAAACUAAGAAGAAUUUUGGUUGACGAGUGUUUUAAAGUUCUGCCUGGUGGGAAAAUCAGAUUGGAGACCCUUUCAUUAUACUCUCUCUUCCAUCUAAGUCAAGAACUGAAGUCAGAAUUGGUCCAAUAAGACCGGAAGCCACAUCUUUCGGAGUGUCUACAUGGGAGUGGUAAAUCCGUGUCACACAGUUACU
Long non-coding RNA from Suricata suricatta (meerkat), 200 nucleotides. RefSeq lists it as uncharacterized. The record is from RefSeq and is a predicted model, not a curated record. The transcript is spliced from 3 exons. NCBI's taxonomy places the organism in Eukaryota, Metazoa, Chordata, Mammalia, Carnivora, Herpestidae.